This 520-nucleotide long non-coding RNA is filed under the name Malus domestica (apple). Its description in RNAcentral is "long non-coding RNA (MDOM_LNC007656)". The record is from RNAcentral. Lineage: Eukaryota; Viridiplantae; Streptophyta; Magnoliopsida; Rosales; Rosaceae.
UCAAAUCAAAUUUACAGGAAGGGAUCUUCAAGGAUGAUCAGGUGGCGCCUCAUCACUCGGCUAUGUUGAAAAAAAAAAAAAAAAAAAAAAAAUGAAGUCAAAUCAAAUUUACAGGAAGGGAUCUUCAAGGAUGAUCAGGUGGCGCCUCAUCACUCGGCGGAGCUCCAGAAAGACGAAGCACUAGAGAUUGAUUAUCCGGAGCUUCAACACUUGGUGAAGCCCCAGGGGACGAAGGCAGAAGUUGCCGCUGGAGUAACGUCACAAACCUCUGAUGAUCACUCUGAAUCCGAACUUCAGACUCCUGCAAUUGGUCAAGCUUCCUCUUCAUGCUUGUUGAGUAAUUAGUUGCAAGCAUGUGCAACUCUUUAUUCUCGUGCCUAAGCAUCCUGACCUCUUGCCGAAGACUGGCCACCUCAGCCAUCAACGAUUCAACCUGACGAGAUCGGGCAAGAAGGCGUUGGCCCAUGUUUGAAACUGAACCUGCACAUCGAACGCUGUAGGCCAGAGAGUCCUGAACAGC